CUAAAUCUCUUACCAUUUCGGAAAAAGUGGUUUUAGCUGUAGUGAAAAUGACAUGCAGUUUUCAUAAAAGUACACUAAAAUGAUUAAAAACGACUCGCCAUAACAAUAUUGUCUUCACCACUACUUAUUUUUAUGUUUAUGUCCCACCAAGUAGCUCAAGGUGUGCAUAGCUCUCCCCGCAUCCUAGCAGGUCAAAAUUCAACAGGCGCAGUGCAGGGGACAGGGAGAGGCAGUGAUGAGUCUUACAGUUCAGUUAUGCUACUUGAGGGCUGCAGCUUUCCCCAACCUGAUGGCCUCUAGUUGCUUCAGACUGCAGCUCAACAUCUGGAGGGCACUAAAUUGCAGAGUAUGGCAGAAACCCCUGUAAGCCUGUAGGAAAAGCCAGCAGGGAUUUUACUGUAAUUUCUCUUAUUCUGGAUGCUAAACUGUUCUGAGGACCUUGCAAGCUGAAAGGUAGGAUGAUAGGGACCCCUGACCAUUAGGUCCAGUCGUGACCAACUCGGGGGUUGCGGCGCUCAUCUCACUUUAAAGGCUGAGGGAGCCGGCGUUAGGCCAGCAUGACUAAGCCGCUUCUGGCGAACCAGAGCAGUGCAUGGAAACGCCAUUUACCUUCCCGCCGGAGUGAUACCUAUUUAUCUACUUGCACUUUGACAUGCUUUCGAACUGCUAGGUUGGCAGGAGCAGGGACCAAGCAAUGGGCGCUCACCCCGUCACGGGGAUUCGAACCGCCAACCUUCUGAUCGGCAAGUCCUAGGCUCUGUAGUUUAACCCACAGUGCCAUCCGCAUACCUGUGCUUUAAAAAAUAAUAAUAAAUGCUGUAAGCAACAGACUGGACAAAUGGCAUCAGAGCUGAGGAAGAGAGGCAUUCUGUACUCCUCCUGUACAUUAAAAAUAUUCUAGCAUAUAAGGUUGUGCAUUAAUGUCAAUGCAAAUUUGUUAAUAAAAAAUGCAAAGUUAUUAAUCUAGUCCAAGCACAGGCAAACUCGGCCCUCCAGAUGUUUUGGGACUACAGUUCCCAUCAUCCCUGACCACUGGUCCUGUUAGCUAGGAAUGAUGGGAGUUGUCAUCCCAAAACAUCUGGAGGCCUGAGUUUGCCUAUGCCUGCUCUAGUCACCCCACAGCUAAAUUGGCCUUAAAGCUGGUGUAAAUACCUUGUCCUGAUGUAUCGAUGUGCACCAGCUGAGGGAAAGCCCUACUGGAAGAAGUUGGCAGAAGUUACACUAGUGUAAAGGGCCAAAAAAGUCUGUAAAGGGGAUGGGAGUGUUGGGCAAAUGAAUAAACACUUGUGCUGCGUCAGAACUUAUUUCAUCCACUGGUCCCAUCCCUGAAGCGCUUUCACCCCUUACAUCAACAAAAAUACAAUUUCGAUUAAAAUUCACCCCACAGUAGUCAAUGGAAGGGUAUAAACUGAAAGUUUACACUGCCUUCCCAGCAACCUACCACCAGGAACAGGUGUGAUGCAGCUUAAUUUGCACAGGAAAUAUGUCAGUGUAUCUGCCUUCUGUCAUAUCUGUCUGGUUAAGAUUGCUCUCCUGGCUGCAAUCCCUUAUCUGGAAGCUAGUUCCAUUGAACUCAGUGGAAUUUACUUCUGAGUAGAUGUGCAUGGGGCUGUAUUCCAGCUGUGAUCUGCAAGAUUUGCGUUUCCAGUAAUAACUAUUUUUGUUAUUUCUUUCCCAGAUCAACACUCCGAAACCAUUACUAUACACCUGUGCAUUUUUAUGUCAUUCUGUUGUGAAGACUCACUAAUGAUGAGUACAUCUAAGAACAUAGGAAGCUACUUCAUACUUAUCCAUCAGUUCAUCUAGCUCAGUAUAAGAGCAGCUCUCUUGGUUUUGAGGCAGGGGCUUCUCCCUGAGUCCCAAGAAAUGCCAGGGAUUGAAUCCGGGGUUUUCUGCAUGCAAAGCAAAUGCUUCACCAUUCACCCAUAGCUCAGUGGCCUGUAUUUCUUUUGUCUAACUUUUUGCCCCAUUGUAAAACAUGGAAAACAACUAACAAAGUUUAGGAAAUCUGCUUCCUGUUAAUUUUUUACUUUAGACAUUAAGUUAGUUACUAAACUGAAACUGGUACAGUACCUGCGUAAAUGAUACUGAAUACUCUCAAAAUGUGGACAAACAGUUCUUUAACUACCUGAUGCAAAGAGGAAGUCUAUUUAAAAGUUUUGAGAAGUUGUGUAAUGUGACUUUAUAUGUGUAUGUUGGCAGAAGAACAGCAUGAUUCCUGUACGUGGGUGUGGAUUGCUAGAAUAAUCAUGCUGAUGUAAUCCUGGAAAAUUUGACACAGACUAUAAAGGCUAGGGGAGUCAUGUUCAUGCUGAGCCUUUCAAGGAACACUGCCUUUUUUAUUUUUCACGUCGGCUUAUAUUGAAAUAUGUUCAGUAUUGUUUGGAAUUGUUGUCAUCUUCACUGCAA
Molecule: long non-coding RNA, 2409 nt
Filed under: Podarcis lilfordi (Lilford's wall lizard)
Lineage: Eukaryota; Metazoa; Chordata; Lepidosauria; Squamata; Lacertidae
Source: RNAcentral